UACAGAGAGUGCGAACGUUGUUCGGAAUUACUGGGCUUAAAGCGCACGUAGGCGGUGCCGCAAGUGUUGGGUAAAAUCCCACGGCUUACCCGUGGAACUGCCUGGCAAACUGCGGUGCUAGAGGAUGGUAGGGGAGAGCGGAACUCCUGGUGGAGCGGUGAAAUGCGUAGAUAUCAGGAGGAACACCGGUGGCGAAGGCGGCUCUCUGGUCCAUUUCUGACGCUGAGGUGCGAAAGCUAGGGGAGCAAACGGGAUUAGAUACCCCGGUAGUCCUAGCUGUAAACGAUGGGCACUAGUUUGGGGUCUCCCUGUGGGAUCCCAGGCGAAACAAAAGUGAUAAGUGCCCCGCCUGGGGAGUAUGGUCGCAAGGCUG
This 373-nucleotide ribosomal RNA is filed under the name uncultured prokaryote. Its description in RNAcentral is "bacterial SSU rRNA". It matches the Rfam family "Bacterial small subunit ribosomal RNA", at positions 524 to 896 of the family's 1533-position model. The record is from RNAcentral.